CUCCCCUGGCUUCCUGCAGUACCUUCUGCUAUGACAGGAAAAGCAGCCCAAAGCCAGAGACCUGAAGGAAUUCCUAUCUCCCACUUGGCCAUGAGAAUACAGAGUAUCAUUCUAAGACUACUGCUAUGCACUUGGUUCUGGGCUGAGCACAUAUAAAGGACAGGAAUCUCCUCUGAUCCCAGACCAAGCCCAUAACUCAGAUCACUGACUGCCUGCUGCUCUCUCAUCCGGCGUGUUCAUGCGAAAGGCUGUGUGUGACUGAGCACCGGCACAGGGCUCCAGCCCGGGUUUUGGAGUUGGGACCUGCUCUCUGCUGAGUACACAGAAAGCCAGAGCUUGAUUUGAGCCAAGAUGAUCUAUCAACCAACCACGCACACCGGCUGGCCGCACACAGAUGGUGCUCUUCGGUGGGCAAGCAUUUGCCUGGAUAUGGACGCCUAUAAUCCAUCACCACCGGGAAGCCGAUCAGAUGAGUGUUCUCAUGCUCCCCCACUGCACAUCUGGGGAAACCGAGGUUGAAGAGACCACCCACGAUCACACAGUACAUCAGUGGUCCUCAUCUUCUACUUUCUUUUGCCUACACAUCUCUGCCCACCUUGAGUGUGAUGAUGUGAGGAGUCAGUGCUGGCCUGGUAGCCAAGGUGGGAUGGGUUCGCUGAGGAUGUGGACAUGCAGAAAGCUCUGGACAAGCACUGCACAGAAGGCACUGACUGAACUCUCCGGAGUCAGGAGCUGCAUCCUGAGUAUUCAGGGUUGUUCUUAGUACAAGCCAAGAAGCAAAGCAAAAAGCAAAGCAGUCUCUGGAAAACUCUAGAGAAGUAAGCAAACCACGUUCAUGGAGUCAGACCAUCCCUGGGUCCACUCAGCGGAGCCACCUGCAGGCGGCAAAGUGUUCCCUGAGCCUCCAGCGCCCGUCUUCCAAGUGGAAUAACAGGCCUGUGCCCUCCGACAGGUCCAGGGGCUCCGUGUCCGUGUCUGGUGUGAAUGGAGUGCUCCUUAUUUCCUCCUUGAGCCCCAAGGAAGUGUCAUCCACUGCUGUUCACUCCACAGGACAUCCGGGUUAACCAGGUGAAGAGUGGCCAGUUCUACAUCUCAUAAAAAUGGAACUGCACGUGUGAGCGUCCACACAGCACAGGCUGCU
This 1141-nucleotide long non-coding RNA is filed under the name Heterocephalus glaber (naked mole-rat). RNAcentral describes it as "lncRNA (ENSHGLG00100036703.1)". Lineage: Eukaryota; Metazoa; Chordata; Mammalia; Rodentia; Bathyergidae. The record is from RNAcentral.